GUGCUCCUGAACUCGCGGUGGUGAUGGGGUCUCACUCUCACCCAGUCUGGAGUGCAGUGGCGCCAUCUCAGCUCAUUGCAGCCUCUGCCUCCUGGGCUUGAGUGAUCUUCCCACCUCGACCUCCUGAGUAGCUGAACCACAAGUGCAUGCCUGGCCAAUUUUUGUAUUUUUGGUAGAAAUGGAGUUUCACCAUGUUGCCCAGGCUGGUCUCAAAACUGGCCUCCCAAAGUGCUGGGAUUACAGACACAACUGGCCUACCUGCAGGAUUUUCAGUUUAUGGACAUGACUGACUGGAGACAUGGAGAAGCUGUUGUUAUUGGAGAUUUUUAUUACUCGCAUUUCCUGAGCGAUGGGGACACUCACUGUGGGGAAAAGCAAGAGAGAUCAGAUUGUUACUGUGUCUGUGUAGAAAGAAGUAGACAUAGGAGACUCCAUUUUGUUCUGUACUAAGAAAAAUUCUUCUGCCUUGGGAUCCUGUUGAUCUGUGACCUUACCCCCAACCCCGUGCUCUCUGAAACAUGUGCUACGUCCACUCAGGGUUAAAUGGAUUAAGGGCGGUGCAAGAUGUGCUUUGUUAAACAGAUGCUUGAAGGCAGCACGCUCCUUAAGAGUCAUCACCACUCCCUAAUCUCAAGUACCCAGGGACACAGAAACUGCGGAAGGCCGCAGGGUCCUCUGCCUAGGAAAGCCAGGUAUUGUCCAAGGUUUCUCCCCAUGUGAUAGUCUGAAAUAUGGCCUCGUGGGAAGGGAAAGACCUGACCGUCCCCCAGCCCGACACCCGUAAAGGGUCUGUGCUGAGGAGGAUUAGUAUAAGAGGAAGGAAUGCCUCUUGCAGUUGAGACAAGAGGAAGGCAUCUGUCUCCUGCCUGUCCCUGGGCAAUGGAAUGUCUCAGUAUAAAACCCGAUUGUAUGUUCCAUCUACUGAGAUGGGGAAAAACCGCCUUAGGGCUGGAGGUGGGACCCGCGGGCAGCAAUACUGCUUUGUAAAGCAUUGAGAUGUUUAUGUGUAUGCAUAUCUAAAGCACAGCACUUAAUCCUUUACAUUGUCUAUGAUGCAAAGACCUUUGUUCACGUGUUUGUCUGCUGACCCUCUCCCCACAAUUGUCUUGUGACCGUGACACAUCCCCCUCUUUGAGAAACACCCACAAAUGAUCAAUAAAUACUAAGGGAACGCAGAGGCUGGCGGGAUCCUCCAUGUGCUGAACGCUGGUUCCCCGGGUCCCCUUAUUUCUUUCUCUAUACUUUGUCUCUGUGUCUUUUUCUUUCCUAAGUCUCUCGUUCCACCUUACGAGAAACACCCACAGGUGUGGAGGGGCAACCCACCCCUACACUCACACUAUGCAGGGCGACAUGAGAAGCCCCGGUGUUUUGUCAGGAGGCAGAGAGAGGGGAGAAAGCUAAGGCCAGAGCC
RNAcentral lists this long non-coding RNA (1411 nucleotides) under Homo sapiens (human). Its description in RNAcentral is "non-protein coding lnc-TMEM88B-6:4". Lineage: Eukaryota; Metazoa; Chordata; Mammalia; Primates; Hominidae. The record is from RNAcentral.